UGGGGCUCCCGCAAGUGGGCGGUGAGAUUGGUCCCCUUGGAUUAGUCGGUCCUAAGGCCGGAUACCAAGUUUUCAAAAAAAUAAAAUAAUAUUAGAAUCCACCUUAGAGGUGGCUUCUAGGGUGAGGGCUCAAUUAAGUCCCUCACCGGUGUACCACUUAACUUGACCAUGAGAUUAAACAGGCAUACAUGAUCUAAAUGUUCCUUAUCACAAUGGAUUCAUCUACUUUUUUUUUUCUCUCGCCCUCAACCGAUCUCCCUCUCUCCACCGUCUGCAUUCUCCAUGAUCUUUUGCCACCGUCUGCAAAUAAUUACCCAUGAAUUGAUAUUUUUCUGUCAUCUAAAGCAUAACUGUACUGUUGUAAAUUUGUAAUUGGGAAGAACGAAAUGGGUUUUAAAGCCAAAACAUUCAUAUUUUAACACCUUACCUUUUUCACCAUCUUCAUCUCAUGGGUAAUAGCAAAUCGAAUACUCAUUUUAUCAAUUGUGUUUCAUAAUCUAAAAGGGCCCCAAAAACAUUUCACCAUCUAACUGAUCUAAGCACUUGUGAAUAAAAUCAAAGUUGAGAAUGGAAAAAAUACAGUUGCAAAGUUUUAUAUAAUAUCCAUGUUAUUAUUGGAUCAGAAAAAAACCUAUCUAUAACUUAAAAAUUUUCCAAGUGUACAGUUAUUGUCAUUUUCUUACACUUUUGAGAUGUGGAGUUUCUUGAUUGAUGGCGCUAUCAAAACCCAUUUUUUUUCUUCUCAGAGAAAUUUUUUUUCUUUCUUCCCACAAAAAUUAUCCACAAAAGAAUCAAUCUGAAACACCCAUUUAAUGAUUUUUUAAAACAAAGUCUAGUUUUGUUUUAAAGAGUGUUUUUAUUGAACCAGUUUUUUUUUGAAGAAGCUAAAUUAGCACACCCAAAUUGGCGCCAGAGAGAAUCGAACCUCAGACCUCAAAAGGAGCACACUCCCAGGUCCCAAGCCAAUACCAAUGCACCAACCCAAGUGGUUUUUUUUUAUUGAACCAGUUAAAGCAUUCAUGGAUGUUGGACUUGGCAGGCGAUGAAAAAGAGAAUGAGAGUGCUAUAGGAAAAUAAAGAGAAAAAGAAGGUGAAUCAAGUGUGAUAACAAUUAAUAAAAUCUCACGCGCUUGGUUAAUCUAAUGGUCAAGAUGAGUGGUACACCGGUGAGGGACUUAAUUGAGCCCUCACCUUAGAAUCCACCUUAGAAUGUAUGUAUGUUAGAAACCACAAACCAGUAACCCUCAAGAACACUAAAAUUUUACAACAACCCUAGUCUCAUAUUAUCUUAAAAACGACAAGUAAUCAGAACAAAAAUACACUAAUAAAACACUAAUUAAUCCUCUCUCUUGAAGGAUAAACUCAUAAAAUCCAUACCAACUACUAACAAAUUUAAUAACACAAAAAACUUUCUUAGUUCCCUUGAUUUACAUAAAAUGAUCUUAUAUUACCCAAAAGCACUUAGAUGAAAUGGCACAAGUCUCUUCUAGCUUAACCAAGGUCUUGGACUUGAUCCCUGACUUGGGCAUGCAGUAUUGUUAAAACUAAUGUAUAUGGGCAUAAAUUAAGGUACUCUCCCUCAAAUGGAGUACCCGUGCAUCAUAGGUUAAAACUCUUAACGAGAGUUUGCCACUCAUUUGCCUCCCACUAAGGAUUAGUCUCUUUCCAGAGGAUACGCCGAUUACACCCAAAAAAAAUCCUAUAUUUAGGUAGGGAGGUAAUAUUAAUUUAAUGUAAUAGAAGCAACAAAUUCUCAAACAAGCAACAAAACACUUAAAAAAUGAAAACAUAUAGAAGGAAAUUAUAUAUAUACAAUGAUACCUAAAAUCAGUGGAAUCGAAGGAGAAUUUGUAUGAAUUAUACCUAAAAUCAGUGGAAUCGAUCAUCUUCCAUUCUCUGAUGUGCUUUGGGCACAGGCAAUGCUUUAUCUCUGUAUCCCUUCUUCGAUUCCAGUAUUCUCAUGUUUGUUCCAAUAUGCAUUUCCUCGCAUCGCUCACUCUUUCUGUUGGGCGAUUCCUCUUUCGCCAUUUUUGCUCCAAAAAUAUUCAUUCACCCCUUGUCUCUGUCUUUUCUGCUGCGUUUAGAACGGUGUGUCAUGUCAACAUUUCCUACCAAAUUUCUAAAAACA
This 2128-nucleotide long non-coding RNA is filed under the name Trifolium pratense (red clover). Its description in RNAcentral is "long non-coding RNA (TPRA_LNC000652)". The record is from RNAcentral. Lineage: Eukaryota; Viridiplantae; Streptophyta; Magnoliopsida; Fabales; Fabaceae.